ACGGAGCGAAGGACUCUGGGUCACCUCCCACCCGUGUCUAUCGUACCUUGUUGCUUCGGCGGGCCCGCCGUUUCGACGGCCGCCGGGGAGGCCUUGCGCCCCCGGGCCCGCGCCCGCCGAAGACCCCAACAUGAACGCUGUUCUGAAAGUAUGCAGUCUGAGUUGAUUAUCGUAAUCAGUUAAAACUUUCAACAACGGAUCUCUUGGUUCCGGCAUCGAUGAAGAACGCAGCGAAAUGCGAUAAGUAAUGUGAAUUGCAGAAUUCAGUGAAUCAUCGAGUCUUUGAACGCACAUUGCGCCCCCUGGUAUUCCGGGGGGCAUGCCUGUCCGAGCGUCAUUGCUGCCCUCAAGCACGGCUUGUGUGUUGGGCCCCCGUCCCCCUCUCCCGGGGGACGGGCCCGAAAGGCAGCGGCGGCACCGCGUCCGGUCCUCGAGCGUAUGGGGCUUUGUCACCUGCUCUGUAGGCCCGGCCGGCGCCAGCCGACACCCAACUUUAUUUUUCUAAGGUUGACCUCGGAUCAGGUAGGGAUACCCGCUGAACUUAAGCAUAUCA
Molecule: ribosomal RNA, 553 nt
Filed under: Aspergillus fumigatus
Lineage: Eukaryota; Fungi; Ascomycota; Eurotiomycetes; Eurotiales; Aspergillaceae
Description: eukaryotic LSU rRNA
Rfam family: 5.8S ribosomal RNA (bases 184-337)
Source: RNAcentral